RNAcentral lists this transfer RNA (72 nucleotides) under Camelus ferus (Wild Bactrian camel). It matches the Rfam family "tRNA". From Rfam's summary of the family: Transfer RNA (tRNA) molecules are approximately 80 nucleotides in length. Their secondary structure includes four short double-helical elements and three loops (D, anti-codon, and T loops). The record is from Rfam by way of RNAcentral. Lineage: Eukaryota; Metazoa; Chordata; Mammalia; Artiodactyla; Camelidae.
GAGGGUGUAGCUCAGUGAUAAGGUGCAUGCCUAGCGUGUAAGAGGUCCUGGGUUCAAUUCCCAGUACCUCUG